UACGUAGGUGGCAAGCGUUAUCCGGAAUUAUUGGGCGUAAAGAGCUCGUAGGCGGCAUGUCGCGUCUGCUGUGAAAGACCGGGGCUCAACUUCGGUUUUGCAGUGGAUACGGGCAUGCUAGAGGUAGGUAGGGGAGACUGGAAUUCCUGGUGUAGCGGUCGAAUGCGCAGAUAUCAGGAGGAACACCGGUGGCGAAGGCGGGUCUCUGGGCCUUACCUGACGCUGAGGAGCGAAAGCAUGGGUAGCGAACAGGAUUAGAUACU
Molecule: ribosomal RNA, 263 nt
Filed under: uncultured prokaryote
Description: partial 16S ribosomal RNA
Rfam family: Bacterial small subunit ribosomal RNA
Source: RNAcentral